RNAcentral lists this ribosomal RNA (264 nucleotides) under uncultured bacterium. Its description in RNAcentral is "partial 16S ribosomal RNA". It matches the Rfam family "Bacterial small subunit ribosomal RNA", at positions 793 to 1055 of the family's 1533-position model. The record is from RNAcentral.
GUCCACGCCCUAAACGAUGUCAACUGGUUGUUGUGUCUUAGCUGACUCAGUAACGAAGCUAACGCGUGAAGUUGACCGCCUGGGGAGUACGGCCGCAAGGUUGAAACUCAAAGGAAUUGACGGGGACCCCGCACAAGCGGUGGAUGAUGUGGUUUAAUUCGAUGCAACGCGAAAACCUUACCCACCUUUGACAUGUACGGAAUCCUUUAGAGAUAGAGGAGUGCUCGAAAGAGAGCCGUAACACAGGUGCUGCAUGGCUGUCGU